GGGCGCGCGCGGGGCGUGGCUUCGUCCCGACAACGGCUCCCUGACACAACUUCCCCUGUGCCAGGUCGUCGCAGUCGGGCCGGAACCUCGCCCCACGAGAACAUGUCA
Molecule: non-coding RNA, 108 nt
Organism: Acidipropionibacterium acidipropionici ATCC 4875
Lineage: Bacteria; Bacillati; Actinomycetota; Actinomycetes; Propionibacteriales; Propionibacteriaceae
Source: Rfam